UACAGAGGUGGCGAGCGUUGUUCGGAUUUAUUGGGCGUAAAGGGUCCGUAGGCGGUUUGGAAAGUUGGAUGUGAAAUCCUGCAGCUUAACUGCAGAACUGCAUUCAAAACUUCCAGACUCGAGUUUGAGAGGGGUAAAGGGAAUUCCCGGUGUAAGGGUGAAAUCUGCAGAUAUCGGGAAGAACACCAGUCGCGAAGGCGCUUUACUGGCUCACAACUGACGCUGAGGGACGAAAGCUAGGGGAGCAAACGGG
RNAcentral lists this ribosomal RNA (253 nucleotides) under uncultured bacterium. RNAcentral's name for it is "partial 16S ribosomal RNA". It matches the Rfam family "Bacterial small subunit ribosomal RNA", at positions 524 to 776 of the family's 1533-position model. The record is from RNAcentral.